Molecule: ribosomal RNA, 507 nt
Filed under: uncultured bacterium
Lineage: Bacteria
Description: partial 16S ribosomal RNA
Rfam family: Bacterial small subunit ribosomal RNA
Source: RNAcentral
AGUGAACGCUGGCGGUAGGCCUAACACAUGCAAGUCGAACGGUAGCACAGAGGAGCUUGCUCCUUGGGUGACGAGUGGCGGACGGGUGAGGAAUGCAUCGGAAUCUACUCUUUCGUGGGGGAUAACGUAGGGAAACUUACGCUAAUACCGCAUACGACCUACGGGUGAAAGCAGGGGACCUUCUAGGCCUUGCGCGAUUGAAUGAGCCGAUGUCCGAUUAGCUAGUUGGCGGGGUAAUGGCCCACCAAGGCGACGAUCGGUAGCUGGUCUGAGCGGAUGAUCAGACACACUGGAACUGGGACACGGUCCAGACUCCUACGGGAGGCAGCAGUGGGGAAUAUUGGACAAUGGGCGCAAGCCUGAUCCAGCCAUACCGCGUGGGUGAAGAAGGCCUUCGGGUUGUAAAGCCCUUUUGUUGGGAAAGAAAAGCAGCCGGCUAAUACCCGGUUGUUCUGACGGUACCCAAAGAAUAAGCACCGGCUAACUUCGUGCCAGCAGCCGCGGUAA